Haliotis rubra (blacklip abalone) is the source of this 111-nucleotide long non-coding RNA. RefSeq lists it as uncharacterized. The record is from RefSeq and is a predicted model, not a curated record. NCBI's taxonomy places the organism in Eukaryota, Metazoa, Mollusca, Gastropoda, Lepetellida, Haliotidae. The transcript has 3 exons.
CUAGAGUGUUUGUUCCAGGUGAAGGGCACGUUACACAGACCAUUAGUCCUAUAGUGCUUGUCUAGGUGAAGGGUACAUUACACAGACUAUUAGUCCUAUAGUGCUUGCUCC